RNAcentral lists this transfer RNA (75 nucleotides) under Magnetovibrio sp. RNAcentral's name for it is "tRNA-Gln". It matches the Rfam family "tRNA". Rfam says of the family: Transfer RNA (tRNA) molecules are approximately 80 nucleotides in length. The record is from RNAcentral. Lineage: Bacteria; Pseudomonadati; Pseudomonadota; Alphaproteobacteria; Rhodospirillales; Magnetovibrionaceae.
UGGGGUGUCGCCAAGUGGUAAGGCACCGGUUUUUGGUAUCGGCAUUCCCAGGUUCGAAUCCUGGCGCCCCAGCCA